Molecule: long non-coding RNA, 221 nt
Filed under: Carica papaya (papaya)
Lineage: Eukaryota; Viridiplantae; Streptophyta; Magnoliopsida; Brassicales; Caricaceae
Description: long non-coding RNA (CPAP_LNC008585)
Source: RNAcentral
GUGGAGAAACCAAUGUUCGUAUACCUACACGAAAUGAGGCAUAAUACACCUCUAAAACACAUAAUUAUUUUUCCCCUUACCCUAAAAUCUCCUAUACAUAUACAUGCAUACACAUUACCCUAAAAUCUCCUAUACAUGCAUAAAAUGAAGAUUUGCAUCCCAUUUCAACUCGGAUUCCUUUCGAAUUGGUUAGACCUACAUUUUGACACCUCUCUCCAUCU